CACACAGAAAGGCUCCAGUUGCCUGCAGGGUCAAACCCAAAACCUUCUUGCUGUGAGGCAACAGUACAGCACCUUGUCUGUGAAGCUUCUCUGUCAACCAGGUCAUAGUUAUCCAACGAAGGUUGAGUACACCACCUUGUCACCCUGUGAAAACAAAUUAUGAGACUUUCAAAUACCACAGCUUCUAUAAAAUACUAUUAAGUGUUUGUCCUGUUCUGUGAGUAUGUUCAACAACUGCUGCUAAUAAUAUUUAAUGUUUUCCAUGUAUCUAAUAUAGCUUGCAUAAAUCAAAUAGAAACAUCAGAGGCAUGGUAAUGACAACAGUAACAUUUAUUUGUGUGACUCUUCCUUACUGGCAGUGUUGGGCAAGUUACUUCCAAAAUGUAAUACAUUAUAGAUUACUAGUUACUGUCAUUUGAGAGUAAUUAGUUAUAUUACAUUAUUACUGUCUCUGAAUUGUAAUGCUUUACACUACUUUUG
Long non-coding RNA from Micropterus salmoides (largemouth bass), 480 nucleotides. RefSeq lists it as uncharacterized. Lineage: Eukaryota; Metazoa; Chordata; Actinopteri; Centrarchiformes; Centrarchidae. The transcript is spliced from 2 exons. The record is from RefSeq and is a predicted model, not a curated record.